GACCGAGUGCGCGAGCGGACAUGACGUGUGGCUGUCGUAAAAACCCUAUUUGUAAACAACCAGCCCUUUAACUCGGGGCUGCGUCAUAAACACGGCGCGCUUGGAAGACCACGAUGUCAUCUUCCUUCUGUCAGGAGGAUCCAAGUGAAGCUACAGGAGUUUCAUUAACGUCAACAACUUGGACCGAACAGUUUGUUUUGCUUGAUGAAGAGCAGGAAGGGCAGCCUGGAGAGAAAGAGAAGCCGGGUUGAGCCCACUACCAUCAUCCACGUACCACGAGGAAGAUGAGGGAGAGAAAUGAUCCUACCAUUAAAGAGACUGUGAAAAGAACGUUGAGAACAUCACCACUCUACAGGAAGACACAGUCCAGUAAUGGGUGUCAGAAGUUCAGUAGUGAACGACAGGUACUGUGGAAAAAUAUGUGUCAUUGUUGUACAAUGUCCUUUGACUCUGUUUAAACAAGGUUAACACAAAAAGGUUUGAUUGUAAACUGAUAUCGGUAUGAAUUCAUGUUAUUCUCCUCGUCAAAAGAAACAAACAAUCCAAAUUACCUGCAGAAAGCCCUUGAUGGACGCUUCAGCUGCAUCGUCAGACUGGCAGUACUGAUGCAUUUACUGAGAGGGGACGUGAGGGCCUACUCUGCGUGCUCAGAGUUCAAGCCCAGCAGGCUGCAGCGGGCCUGACAUAUUCUGGAACAGCAGCACAGUCUUUAGAUGACUCCUCUGAAGAUGAAAACAUGGCGAGUUCUUCUCAAGAGAAGCAGUACAGGUGUGCCUCAGCUCCACGGUCCCUCCUGCAGCCUCCGCUCCUGAUGCUAACCUCAUGUCUCCAUCACACCAAGCAGCAGACCUGGAUUGACAGACCUUUCUCCAGAGCUGCCCCCUCCCUCUGAAACCCCCCUCUCCAAAACACUAUUUGUGUAGUUUUUAAAGUAUUUUUUGCAUGAGAAUUGUUGAUCAUAACAUUUCCAGCAGAUGC
Molecule: long non-coding RNA, 978 nt
Organism: Pleuronectes platessa (European plaice)
Lineage: Eukaryota; Metazoa; Chordata; Actinopteri; Pleuronectiformes; Pleuronectidae
Exons: 5
Source: RefSeq, a predicted model, not a curated record